AUUAACCUAAAUUAACACCCACCAGCCCACAGAGACAGCAAGCAGAACAAAACCAGGAAGCUUUCCUGUUUAGAUUUUAGAGCUUAUACUACCAUGUGAUGUAAAUUUCUAUCACUUGAUCCCUCUGGAAGGGUUGAGCUUUUAUGUUUUAGAAUCAUUGUCAAGAUUACCCUCAUAAUCCAGAAAGAAGAAAUGCGUUUGCUUGAUUGUGCUUAUUUUCCAUAAGUAAUAGACAAUCACACAAAUAGAUAAAUGUUUCUCACAUUUUUUAAAUUUCUGCAAGAAAGAAAACUCCAAUCUCAUCUUGAAAUUCUUAUAUCUUCCUCCAGUUGGGUUUUUCAGUGGGCAGAAUUGACAACCGAAGAACGCUUGCAAAGAACUGUUACUCUACUUAUCCAACUUGAAAGACAUGAUUCUUGAGAAAGUAUAAGAGAGACACCUACUGGAGAGAACAAGAUGUAUCUUGUUAUCAGAUGAAUUUUCAGUUUCAGGGAAAUAAAACAACUAUGUGUCUACUGCCCUAAGAUUUUAUACCAUAUACUUUAGAGAUGAACAUGUUACCAUAGUUAUGAAGAUUUAUUUAUGGAAAUAUGUGAACAUCGCAUAGUCAAUUGUCAUGGGAAGGCUAAGUUUGAUUCAAAACAUAAAUCAGAAACCACUUAGGUAAAUCAAACAAGUAUUGCUUAUCUAAAUGAUAUAGAAGAGACGCCAGCUAGGACAUACAGCUCCAACUGAACAGUUCCCAGAAGAGAAUAAGGUAUAAGUUUUAGGUCCCGCUCCCCGACUACUUGGAGUAGCUGUGGCUGAAUAGUUCUGAGAGAUUAAACGUCACAUAAACCUGGAAGCUCAGUUGCACCAAUGCCACAACAAGUCCUGCUUUAUAUAAAUAAACUUGGAAUAAUUCUUCGUAUAGGCUGGCCUGGAUAUGUGCUGAGGACACUGUAUCAAUCUUCUACAAAAUACAACGUUAUUAU
Molecule: long non-coding RNA, 974 nt
Filed under: Equus asinus (donkey)
Lineage: Eukaryota; Metazoa; Chordata; Mammalia; Perissodactyla; Equidae
Description: lncRNA (ENSEASG00005035747.1)
Source: RNAcentral